UCCCAGUUGUUGUAACAAGUUUGGAACAAGCUGUUAACAACUUGUAACAAGCUUGAUGGCAUGAUCAGACUUGUUACAAGGUUUUUCUAACAAUUCUGAUAAAGUCAUGAUAUAACAAGAAUGUUACAAGGUUGAUGACACAAGGUUGUAACAAUAUUGUUAUAUUAUGACUGUAUCGGGCUUGUUGGAACAACCUUGCAACAGGUACGAUAAUAUCAACAAGGUUGUUACAAGUUGUUAACAGCUUGUUCCAAACUUGUUGACAACUUGGGA
This 273-nucleotide microRNA precursor is filed under the name Paramuricea clavata. The record is from RNAcentral. Lineage: Eukaryota; Metazoa; Cnidaria; Anthozoa; Malacalcyonacea; Plexauridae.